UAAUGUACCUUUGGGUGGGGAAUAACAGUCGGAAACGACUGCUAAUACCGCAUAAUGCAGCGGCAUCGCAAGAUGACAGUUGUUAAAGCGAGCAAUCGCGCCUAAAGAGCAGUCUGCGGCAGAUUAGCUAGUUGGUAAGGUAAUGGCUUACCAAGGCUACGAUCUGUAACCGACCUGAGAGGGUGGUCGGUCACACUGACACUGAAUAACGGGUCAG
RNAcentral lists this ribosomal RNA (217 nucleotides) under uncultured bacterium. RNAcentral's name for it is "partial 16S ribosomal RNA". It matches the Rfam family "Bacterial small subunit ribosomal RNA", at positions 122 to 334 of the family's 1533-position model. The record is from RNAcentral.